This 449-nucleotide ribosomal RNA is filed under the name uncultured bacterium. Its description in RNAcentral is "partial 16S ribosomal RNA". It matches the Rfam family "Bacterial small subunit ribosomal RNA", at positions 29 to 523 of the family's 1533-position model. The record is from RNAcentral.
AACGAACGCUGGCGGCAGGCCUAACACAUGCAAGUCGAACGCCGUAGCAAUACGGAGUGGCAGACGGGUGAGUAACACGUGGGAACGUACCCUUCGGUUCGGAAUAACUCAGGGAAACUUGAGCUAAUACCGGAUACGUCCGAGAGGAGAAAGAUUUGUCGCCAAAGGAUGGGCCCGCGUCUGAUUAGCUUGUUGGUGCGGUAACGGCUCACAAAGCCGACGAUCAGUAGCUGGUCUGAGGGGAUGAUCAGCCACAUUGGGACUGAGACACGGCCCAAACUCCUACGGGAGGCAGCAGUGGGGAAUAUUGGACAAUGGGGGCAACCCUGUUCCAGCCAUGCCGCGUGAGUGAUGAAGGCCUUAGGGUUGUAAAGCUCUUUUACCUGGGAAGAUAAUGACGGUACCUGAAGAAUAAGCACCGGCUAACUACGUGCCAGCAGCCGCCGUAA